Molecule: ribosomal RNA, 464 nt
Filed under: uncultured bacterium
Lineage: Bacteria
Description: partial 16S ribosomal RNA
Rfam family: Bacterial small subunit ribosomal RNA
Source: RNAcentral
ACGAACGCUGGCGGCGUGCUUAACACGUGCAAGUCGAACGGAAAGGCCCCUUUGGGGGUACUCGAGUGGCGAACGGGUGAGUAACACGUGAGUAACCUGCCCUUGACUUCGGGAUAACUUCAGGAAACUGGGGCUAAUACCGGAUAGGAAUCCUUGCUGCAUGGUGGGGGUUGGAAAGCUUCGGCGGUUUUGGAUGGACUCGCGGCUUAUCAGCUUGUUGGUGGGGUAGUGGCUUACCAAGGCUUUGACGGGUAGCCGGCCUGAGAGGGCGACCGGCCACAUUGGGACUGAGAUACGGCCCAGACUCCUACGGGAGGCAGCAGUGGGGAAUAUUGCACAAUGGGCGGAAGCCUGAUGCAGCAACGCCGCGUGCGGGAUGACGGCCUUCGGGUUGUAAACCGCUUUCAGCAGGGGCGAAGCUUGUGGUGACGGUACCUGCAGAAGAAGCACCGGCUAACUACGUG